ACGGAGGGUGCAAGCGUUGUCCGGAUUUAUUGGGUUUAAAGGGUGCGUAGGCGGGAUAUUAAGUCAGUGGUGAAAGCCCACAGCUCAACUGUGGAACUGCCAUUGAUACUGGUAUUCUUGAGUAUGGAUGAGGUAAGCGGAAUUUAUGGUGUAGCGGUGAAAUGCAUAGAUACCAUAAAGAACACCGAUAGCGAAGGCAGCUUACCGGGCCAUAACUGACGCUGAGGCACGAAAGCGUGGGGAGCGAACAGG
RNAcentral lists this ribosomal RNA (252 nucleotides) under uncultured bacterium. Its description in RNAcentral is "partial 16S ribosomal RNA". It matches the Rfam family "Bacterial small subunit ribosomal RNA", at positions 525 to 776 of the family's 1533-position model. The record is from RNAcentral.